CCUACGGGUGGCAGCAGUGAGGAAUAUUGGUCAAUGGACGAGAGUCUGAACCAGCCAAGUAGCGUGAAGGAUGACUGCCCUAUGGGUUGUAAACUUCUUUUAUAAAGGAAUAAAACGAGGCACGUGUGCCUUUUUGCAUGUACUUUAUGCAUAAGGAUCGGCUAACUCCGUGCCAGCAGCCGCGGUAAUACGGAGGAUCCGAGCGUUAUCCGUAUUUAUUGGGUUUAAAGGGAGCGUAGAUGGGUUGUUAAGUCAGUUGUGAAAUUUUGCGGCUUAACCGUAAAAUUGCAAUUGAUACUGGCAGUCUUGAGUUCAGUUGAGGUAGGCGGAAUUCGUGGUGUAGCGGUGAAAUGCUUAGAUAUCACGAAGAACCCCGAUUGCGAAGGCAGCUUACUAAACUGUGACUGACAUUGAUGCUCGAAAGUGUGGGUAUCAAACAGGAUUAGAUACCCUUGUAGUC
RNAcentral lists this ribosomal RNA (460 nucleotides) under uncultured bacterium. RNAcentral's name for it is "partial 16S ribosomal RNA". It matches the Rfam family "Bacterial small subunit ribosomal RNA", at positions 338 to 795 of the family's 1533-position model. The record is from RNAcentral.